AAAACAAAAGGGUUCCAAAAGGGUUCUGUGGCAGUCCCCAUAGUGGACAGAAGUAUUUUGGGUUCCAUGUAGUACAUCAAGCUGCGAGGGGAAAAUGAUUGUUUGUGAGCACAGGCACAUUUACUGUAGGUGGUCUGCCUCUGAAACUAGCUGAGGAUCAAAGACGUGGGUUUCUUUAUUACUGUACAUUGAUCCAUGUGUAUUUGACGGGACGGGACGGGGGGGACGGGGGGGUAGUACCACGAUGAAAUAAUAAACACAUGAUAAACAACCACAGCUACUGCUAGUGUGUAUUAAUCCAUUUGUGGUAUAGACUUCCGGGGUGAACACAGUCCUUGGCAGUGUGAUAUUCAGUGGUGUGUUGCUUAGUCUAGUCAACCAAUGCUUAUUUAUCAUGUGGCUACUGUUAAUGGUGCAGUAGAAGCACAACCAUAUCUGUUUCUCAUUCAUCACCACAGACCAAGUGGGAAAUAUACAGAAUCACAACAACAAUACUCUCAAUGAUAACUCCAAUGUAGUAACCUGGGUAGCUGAGAGUUGACAUAGUGAUGUCUUUUAUUUCAUCUUGAAAGCUACAGUAUUAUGCCAAGGCUCACUAGUACACAACUGUAUAAGGCCGUAUUAAUGAGAUACAGUAUUGUGAAGAGGUCCUGUGUUUGGCUGUGGGAGGAAGUACAGUAUGAUCCAUCACACACACACAAAAUAGUACAGAAAGAGACGGUCCUAUGUACUCAGCACGGCCACGGACUCACUGUUUUGGGACGUGUGCACAUUGAGUUUCCAGCGCUUACAGACAGGCUCCAGUCUCGACCAUGCAGGAGGGUGACGAUAAUAACAGCACAACACUCAUUGUCAUCAGACGUAUGAUCUUAGCUCUACUUUGUUCUAUCAACUGAUCACACAACCUUUCCAAGAGGAAUAGAUAUAGCACAUUUUUACAGGAAGUAUUGCUAUUGAAAUGUUUUGUAUUUUACGUUAAAGAUUAAACUACUCGAUUUUUAUUGCGUACCUUGCUC
Oncorhynchus tshawytscha (Chinook salmon) is the source of this 1016-nucleotide long non-coding RNA. Lineage: Eukaryota; Metazoa; Chordata; Actinopteri; Salmoniformes; Salmonidae. The record is from Ensembl.